This is a small nuclear RNA of Fukomys damarensis (Damara mole-rat), 92 nucleotides long. The record is from Ensembl. Lineage: Eukaryota; Metazoa; Chordata; Mammalia; Rodentia; Bathyergidae.
GUACUCGCUUUGGCAGCACAUAUACUAAAAUUGGAUUAGCGUGGCUCCUGCACAAGGAUGACACCCAAAUUCUUGAAGCAUUCCAUAUUUUU